RNAcentral lists this ribosomal RNA (307 nucleotides) under Cohnella kolymensis. Its description in RNAcentral is "partial 16S ribosomal RNA". It matches the Rfam family "Bacterial small subunit ribosomal RNA", at positions 1 to 292 of the family's 1533-position model. Lineage: Bacteria; Bacillati; Bacillota; Bacilli; Caryophanales; Paenibacillaceae. The record is from RNAcentral.
CUAUUAUGGAGAGUUUGAUCCUGGCUCAGGACGAACGCUGGCGGCGUGCCUAAUACAUGCAAGUCGAGCGGAGUUGAUGAGAAGCUUGCUUCUCUGAUACUUAGCGGCGGACGGGUGAGUAACACGUAGGCAACCUGCCCACAAGAUCGGGAUAACAUUCGGAAACGAAUGCUAAGACCGGAUAAACAGUCCUCUCGCAUGGGAGGGUUGGGAAAGACGGAGCAAUCUGUCACUUGCGGAUGGGCCUGCGGCGCAUUAGCUAGUUGGUGAGGUAACGGCCCACCAAGGCGACGAUGCGUAGCCGACC